Molecule: transfer RNA, 65 nt
Filed under: Dipodomys ordii (Ord's kangaroo rat)
Lineage: Eukaryota; Metazoa; Chordata; Mammalia; Rodentia; Heteromyidae
Rfam family: tRNA
About the family: Transfer RNA (tRNA) molecules are approximately 80 nucleotides in length. Their secondary structure includes four short double-helical elements and three loops (D, anti-codon, and T loops).
Source: Rfam by way of RNAcentral
GGUGGCUUAGUUGUAGAGUGCUUGCUUUGCAAGCAUGAGGCCCUGGGUUCAAUUCCUCAGCACCA